This 253-nucleotide ribosomal RNA is filed under the name uncultured bacterium. Its description in RNAcentral is "partial 16S ribosomal RNA". It matches the Rfam family "Bacterial small subunit ribosomal RNA", at positions 524 to 776 of the family's 1533-position model. The record is from RNAcentral.
GACGAACCGUGCAAACGUUGUUCGGAAUCACUGGGCUUAAAGGGCGCGUAGGCGGGCUCGCCAGUCAGGGGUGAAAGCCCACGGCUUAACCGUGGAAGUGCCUCUGAUACUGCGGGUCUCGAGGGAGGUAGGGGCGUGCGGAACUUCCGGUGGAGCGGUGAAAUGCGUAGAUAUCGGAAGGAACACCGGUGGCGAAAGCGGCAUCCUGGACCAAUACUGACACUGAGGAGCGAAAGCCAGGGGAGCAAACGGG